AUAACUCGAUAAUCCACGUAUGCCCAACCUUCUCUAGAUACCCAGCAUGUGUACUGCCGUUGUAAGCAUACCUUUAAAAGAAUAGUAUGCUACUAUGAUUAAAUAACUAAACUCAUAUACAUCAGGUCAAAGUGCAGCUAAUAAGAAGGUGAUGAUGGGUUACAACCCUAAAACAGAUCAUCAACUAAGAAAUCAAAAAUCUUACAAAAGUGGACUUGGCCGUAAUCAAUUUAAAUUAAAGAAAUGAAUAUUACCUAAGACAUGCACACAUCGCCCGUCACUCUAUCCUAAAGGAUAGAUAAGUCGUAACAAAGUAGGUGUAAUGGAAAUUGUACCUGUCGAAGUAUAGCAUAUAAAAUGCUUUUUACUUACACUAAAAAUAAAGUUAAAUAACUUGCUUCGCCCACAUAACAAAAUCUUAUAAAUUAAGCAAUAAUAAAAACAAUAAAUUAAUAAAACUAAUACAAGUACAGAAAUGAAAACAAAAAUAAAUAAAAGUAAAUCUUAACAACUAUACCUUGUGCAUUAUGGUUUUACAAGAAAAUAAUUAAAUAUAUAAAUCCCGAAUUCUAAAUGAGAUGUCAAACUGCUGUUAUGAACCCAUUAUUAACUGUGGCAAAAGAUUUAAAAGACAGUUUGACAGAGGCUACAUACCAUACGCAUAAGAAUAUAGCUGGUUUUCAACAAACAUUAUAUAUUAAAACAUAUAAUUAUAUUAUAGUGUAAUAUUAUUGAGGAUAAGCCCAAUAAUUAAUGCAAUAAUGUAUUUAAUCUAUUUUAUCUUAUAGGCCUAAAACCAGCCAACUAUAACACCUUACCGUAAUAAAAAUAGAAAAAAUAUAUAAUAUAAAAUGCCCAAAAAAGUUGAAACAGGGGAAAAACUAAAUUGCUCCUACCAUAAUAUGUAAAAAUAAGUAUUAUACAAUUAAAACAAAAUAAUCUAGUAAAAACAUCAAAUAAAACAACAAUAAUUAAUUAAGGAACUCGGCAAACAAUUAUUUCGACUGUUUAACAAAAACAUUGUCUUAUGAACACAAUAUUAGAUAAUACCUGCCC
RNAcentral lists this ribosomal RNA (1056 nucleotides) under Amynthas sp. FJ201113-06. Its description in RNAcentral is "partial 12S ribosomal RNA". Lineage: Eukaryota; Metazoa; Annelida; Clitellata; Crassiclitellata; Megascolecidae. The record is from RNAcentral.